GCUACAGGGAUUGUGACU
RNAcentral lists this small nuclear RNA (18 nucleotides) under Arabidopsis thaliana (thale cress). Its description in RNAcentral is "snRNA_07705". The record is from RNAcentral. Lineage: Eukaryota; Viridiplantae; Streptophyta; Magnoliopsida; Brassicales; Brassicaceae.